Pelobates cultripes (western spadefoot toad) is the source of this 309-nucleotide non-coding RNA. The record is from the annotation of a GenBank genome assembly. NCBI's taxonomy places the organism in Eukaryota, Metazoa, Chordata, Amphibia, Anura, Pelobatidae.
CUGAAUUUAAUUGUACUACUUAUUUUUGCACUGUACAACUUUAGAAAAUUAACCAGGCUUUAGACUUGGAGAUUCGAAUCGUUACGAACUGCAAUUUAUACGAAUUUGGGUCAAUCAGGUGACUGUGUAGCCGAACGGCAAAUCAGCCAAUACACUAAAAGGCUGAGUAUGUUCAUUUUGAUUCGUGAUUCUGAAGCACACCAGUGGAACCAAAAAUAAAGAGAUGAUUGUCGGCUAGGGGACAGUCAAUAAAUCAUUUUAUUCACAGGUCAAAUGAGAAGUGACCAAUUGAUUAAAAAAAAAGUGAAG